Schistosoma haematobium is the source of this 46-nucleotide non-coding RNA. Lineage: Eukaryota; Metazoa; Platyhelminthes; Trematoda; Strigeidida; Schistosomatidae. The record is from Rfam.
GCACUGCUGAGGAGUCCCAUACUAGGACGAAACAGCCGUCCAGUGC